UUCAUUUUUGUCGAGCCUGCAACUUUUGUUGCAGAAAGCUCGACAUAGGGAUAGUGAUCCAGCGGCGGCGGCGGCGGUGUUAGCUAACUUCUUAAAAGCUUUAUAUUUUAGAAGGUGGAAGACCUGGAUGUUUCAUACUUUGUAUAUAGAUGCCUCAUGUUACGAAGUUUCCGUCAGUCACAUGUCCCAUGUCCUUGACCUCAUUUUCAUGGUUCAGUGACCACUUGAAAAAAAAGUUCAGAUUUUUUGUAAUGUUGAAUUCUCUCUUAUUAUAAGUAAUAGGAUAACUAUAUUUGAUAUGUGCGUACCUUGCAAGGUCCUCAUGUCUGUCAGACAGUUUUCACUUGACCUCGACCUCAUUUCAUGGAUCAGUGAACAAGGUUAAGUUUUGGUGGUCAAGUCCAUAUCUCAGAUACUAUAAGCAAUAGGGCUAGUAUAUUCGGUGUAUGGAAGGACUGUAAGGUGUACAUGUCCAACUGGCAGGUGUCAUCUGACCUUGACCUCAUUUUCAUGGUUCAGUGGUUAUACUAUAGUUAAAUUUUUGUGUUUUGAUCUGUUUUUUUCAUACUAUCUGCAAUAGGUCUACUAUAUUUGUUGUAUGGAAUGAUUGUAAGGUGUACAUGUCUAGCGGGCAGAUGUCAUGUGACCUUGACCUCAUUUUCAUGGUUCAGUGGUUAUAGUUAAAUUUUUGUGUUUUGGUCUGUUUUUUUCAUACUAUAUGCAAUAGGUCUACUACAUUUGUUGUAUGGAAUGAUUGUAAGGUGUACAUGUCUAGCGGGCAGAUGUCAUGUGACCUUGACCUCAUUUUCAUGGUUCAGUGGUCAAAGUUAAGUUUUUGAGUUUUGGUCUUUUUAUCUAAUACUAUAUGCCAUAGGUCAACUAUAUUUGGUGUGUGGAAAUAUUUUAUGAUCUUUAUGUCAGUAGCGCAGGUUUCUUUUGACCGUGACCUCAUUUUCAUGGUUCAUUGCACAGUGUUAAGUUUUUGCGUUUUGGUCUAUUUUUCUAAAAUUAUAAGUAAUAGGUCAACUAUAUAUGUUGUAUAGAAGCAUUGUUAGCUGUACAUGUCUGCCUGGCAUGGUUCAUCUGACCUUGACCUUAUUUUCAUGGUUCAUUGGUCUUUGUUUAGUUAUCUUGGUUAAUGUUAAGUUUAUGAGACAGUCAUGACAGUUGUAAUAAAGCUUUAUACUAUCAACAUAAUAUCAAUGAUUAGUAUAGAAGGCGAGACAUUUCAGCGUGUGCACUCUUGU
This 1247-nucleotide long non-coding RNA is filed under the name Mytilus galloprovincialis (Mediterranean mussel). Lineage: Eukaryota; Metazoa; Mollusca; Bivalvia; Mytilida; Mytilidae. The record is from RNAcentral.